Molecule: ribosomal RNA, 466 nt
Filed under: uncultured bacterium
Lineage: Bacteria
Description: partial 16S ribosomal RNA
Rfam family: Bacterial small subunit ribosomal RNA
Source: RNAcentral
GAUGGACGCUGGCGGCGUGCUUAACACAUGCAAGUCGAACGAUGAAGCUCAGCUUGCUGGGUGGAUUAGUGGCGAACGGGUGAGUAACACGUGAGUAACCUGCCCUUAACUCUGGGAUAAGCCUGGGAAACUAGGUCUAAUACCGGAUAGGAGCGCCUACCGCAUGGUGGGUGUUGGAAAGAUUUAUCGGUUUUGGAUGGACUCGCGGCCUAUCAGCUUGUUGGUGAGGUAAUGGCUCACCAAGGCGACGACGGGUAGCCGGCCUGAGAGGGUGACCGGCCACACUGGGACUGAGACACGGCCCAGACUCCUACGGGAGGCAGCAGUGGGGAAUAUUGCACAAUGGGCGAAAGCCUGAUGCAGCGACGCCGCGUGAGGGAUGACGGCCUUCGGGUUGUAAACCUCUUUCAGUAGGGAAGAAGCGAAAGUGACGGUACCUGCAGAAGAAGCACCGGCUAACUACGUG